Long non-coding RNA from Brienomyrus brachyistius, 2320 nucleotides. RefSeq lists it as uncharacterized. The record is from RefSeq and is a predicted model, not a curated record. Lineage: Eukaryota; Metazoa; Chordata; Actinopteri; Osteoglossiformes; Mormyridae. The transcript has 3 exons.
UUCCUGCUGGGAACAGACCACUCGUCCCUGCCAUAGCAGCUGGGAUUCUGGAGGCUAGAGGGGCAGGUGGCAUGCUGGCUGGAGGUGCUAGGGGCGUUUACCUUUUCCGUGGAAGGCUGCCCAGGGAGGAGCCAUGUCAGUGCUCGCAUUAUUGUCCCGUUAUCUGGGAUUGGAGUGUGGAAGCGCAGAGGGCGGAAUGGCCAUCCUGCUGUCCACUGAAGAAACGUUUGGCCAAUGUUUGGCAAUGACAUGGACAGCCUACCCGCCGUCAAAGAAGCAACAACCAAGUUUUACAAAUUGGUUUAAGGAUAAUAAAGUCAAGGUUCGCCUGCCAUCUGGAAGUGUAUGACAUCAUUAUGAAAAUGAAAGUAGGCUUCUUACACCUUGAUGUCUUCCAGGACCUUAUUGUACUGUAUGACAAUUGACAGAUCCUGUGUACGUACACAGAAGAUUGAAAAUUAUUAUGAGGCUCGGCGAAUAGACACUUUAGGGAUGUAAGGUAACUAUGCCAAUUAAAGUCAUUACUGCAAAGAGGGUGAUUGACUAGGAAUGUCUAUCAUUACCCAAUAUCACUCUCCUCCUUUUUGAUUGUUCCACUGUAUGACAAUCUUCAGCAGAGAUUACUUUAUAUGUGGGUUCAAUAUAAUUAUACUAGACUGUAAACGUAAGAACCUAAUUACUUCUCUAUGCUGGGGGACAGGAUUUUCGAUAUUGAGAUUGUUGUGUCUGUUUUGGGGUUAGCGCAGGAAGGUGUGGUUAAAAUUCUCGCCAAUAUUUAUUCUUGUCUAUUCAAAUGGUGUGUUUGGAUGAAAAUGUGCCUUCGGUCAAAUAACACAUAAGAAACACAAUAUUACCACAACAACACCGUGACAAAAUAGCUUUUUUUUGCAAUAAAGUUAGGUAAUAGACAAAAAAGGAGAAACAAGCUGCUUGUGUGGCAAAUAAAUAAAUAAUGGUGCCUUUGAGUGUCAGAGGUAGUGGCAAAGUGCGAUUUAAGAGUAUAGUUUAACGAUGGCAUUCAGAUUGGGAUGGAAAUGAGGGUACUUCUCUCCAUACUGAAUAUCCGUGGCAUGAAAUGAAUCUGUUUGUUAAAAAAAAGGUGGGUUGUGCGGCAGAGUUUUUGCUAAUCCACUAACCACUAAUUAGCGAAGCUAGGUUUUCUAGCGGAUUAGCAUUUACACUAACCUGGAAAGCUAUGACCGGUUAGCUUUUUCUAAAUGUAGUUCCGCUAAAUCCACCAACAUUUUUUUCACAGGUAGAGUCAAAAACAUUUGUAAACCCUAACAUCCUGCAUAUUUAUUCGUGUCUGUUGUGAGCAAGACCGAAAAAGUCUGUUGGCUGAUCACACGUAAACACAAGACAUGAUUGCUCAAUGCAACAGCAGCUAAGCGGCACAGUGUACCCGUGCAGUUCAGCUGGUUUACAGCGUGACAGUCUUAAAGGCUGAUUUAUACUUCUGUGCUGAAUCAACAUCAUAGGUACGUCAUAACCACCUAUGCUGCACUGUAGCCUAUGCCACAACCUGACCUGCACCUUCCCAGAAAUGUAACUACCCAUCGCGGCUACUCAGACCAUAACAACUGUGAUCGGUCCUGCGUUCUUCGAAGGUCGACCAAAAGGGGUCGUCAAAUGAGAUGAUCUGGUCUAUGGAUAAUUUCCUAUUUGCAUCAGCAGCUCUUCCCACCCUUACAAUUGAGUGUAUCCUAUUGCUUUGCCGGAACAUGCCCAUUUUACCUUUGCCCAGUGAAUGCUGGGAUAUGCUGAGCUGUGAAGGAUCCGUCAGGUGGAUCCUUUGUGACUUGGCAAGAUGCGGACACAUUUGUAGACCAAAUUUGAAGGAAUCUUUGAAAUGGUAUUCAAUGGUACACAAGUACAGUCAAGUACACAUAUUGAUAAACACUUCUGGUAUACACCUGCAGCCAUGUGCACCAAAACAUUUCACAAAAUUUGCAUCACUUCUCCACGUGCACGACUGAAAGCGCGGUUUACUGAGUCUACAAGUUUGCAUUAAAUAAACUGUAUGUUGAUUGUUGACUAAUGUUUAAUUUCAUUGUUGUGUAAACCUUGAUCAUCAUUUGAUGUUGGCAUGCUCCACCGGGUUGGAAAGCUCUGUGUCUAAGCUGCAACAUAGUAGAAUUUCAGAGCCAAAAACCAUGCCAUUAUCGUUAGCUUCCACUAAUUUAUUUAUUUAUUUGCAGUUUAUCAGUUUAGUGUUAUCAAAUUAAACUUUGCAGUUGGUGCAUUAGCAGUUAAGAUAAGGUUUUGUUUAGCUGUGACCACCACUGGUUAUGAGAAGCAGACACCAACUGAUACUGAAGCU